UAGACGCGAAACCUAGUGAUCUAGGCCUGUCCAGGCUGAAGCUGAGGUAAGACUCAGUGGAGGGCCGAACUCACCGCCGUUGAAAAGUUGGGAGAUGAGGCAGGUCUAGGGGUGAAAAGCCAAUCGAACUAGGAGAUAGCUCGUUCUCUCCGAAAUGCAUUUAGGUGCAGCCUUGGCAUGAAGAUAUGCGGGGGUAGAGCUCUGUAUGGUCUAGGGGGCGUACUGCUUACCGAAAUCAAGCAAACUGCGAAUACCGCAUAUUAAUAGCCAGGAGUGAGUCCGUGGAUGACAAGGUCCUCGGACGAGAGGGGAACAGCCCAGACCGCCAGCUAAGGUCCCUAAUUAUGUCUAAGUGGGAAAGGAGGUGGAUAUUCACAGACAACCAGGAGGUUGGCUUAGAAGCAGCCAUGCCUUGAAAGAGUGCGUAAUAGCUCACUGGUCGAGAGUAUCUGCGCCGAAGAUGUAACGGGGCUAAGACAUAAACCGAAGCUGCGGAGGCGUGCUUGCACGCCUGGUAGGAGAGCGUUCUGUAGGCCGUUGAAGGAAUGCCGCAAGGCCAUUCUGGAGGUAUCAGAAGUGAGAAUGCAGGAAUGAGUAGCGAGAAGGCGGGCGAGAAUCCCGCCGGCCGGAAGUCCAAGGUUUCCAGGGGAAGGUUUGUCCGCCCUGGGGGAGUCGGGACCUAAGCAUAAGCAAAAAUGUGAUGGCGAAUGGAAAACAGGUUAAUAUUCCUGUACCGCUGUUAUCGCCUGAGAGACGGAGUGACGCAGGAAGGUAUGCGGGAAGGCUGACGGAAUAGCCUUUCUAAGGGCGUAGCAUGGGCAUGCAGGAAAAUCCGCAUGCCUAAAUGUGAGACCUGACGGGUAAGUGCAUCUUGCAUAAGCCGCAGAUCCUACACUGCCGAGAAAAACUUCUAUCGAUGAGAACCAGCGCCCGUACUGUAAACCGACACAGGUGGACAGAGUGAGAAACUUAAGGCCGACAGGAUAACUCUAGCUAAGGAACUCUGCAAAAUGGCCCCGUAACUUCGGGAGAAGGGGUGCCUGACAUACCUGAAGGGAGAGACGCCCUGAGGGGAAACAGGCCGCAGUGAAGAGUCCCAAGCAACUGUUUACCAAAAACACAGGUCUAUGCUAAGCUGAAAGGCGACGUAUAUGGGCUGACACCUGCCCAGUGCCGGAAGGUUAAGAGGAGGAUUGAGAGAUUCGAAUUGAAGCCCCGGUGAACGGCGGCCGUAACUAUAACGGUCCUAAGGUAGCGAAAUUCCUUGUCGGGUAAGUUCCGACCUGCACGAAUGGUGAAAUGAUUUGGGAGCUGUCUUGGCUGGAGACCUGGUGAAGUUGUAAUGCCGGUGAAGAUACCGGCUACCUGCAGUAGGACGGAAAGACCCCGUGGAGCUUUACUGCAGUCUGGCAUUGGGUUUUGGCUGUGUGUGUAUAGGAUAGUUGGGAGACUGUGAAGCUGAGGCGUCAGUUUCAGCCGAGUCGCCGUUGGAAUACCAACCAUAUGCCGUUGAAAUUCUAAUCUGGUAACGGAGACAGUGCUAGAUGGGCAGUUUGACUGGGGCGGUCGCCUCCCAAAGAGUAACGGAGGCGUUCAAAGGUUCCCUCAGGCUGGAUGGAAAUCAGCCUAAGAGUGCAAACGCAUAAGGGAGCUUGACUGCAAGACUGACGGGUCGAGCAGGCACGAAAGUGGGAGUUAGUGAUCCGGCGGUUCCGUAUGGAAGGACCGUCGCUCAACGGAUAAAAGCUACCCCGGGGAUAACAGGCUGAUACUUCCCAAGAGUCCAUAUCGACGGAAGUGUUUGGCACCUCGAUGUCGGCUCGUCUCAUCCUGGGGCUGGAGAAGGUCCCAAGGGGUGGGCUGUUCGCCCAUUAAAGUGGCACGCGAGCUGGGUUCAGAACGUCGUGAGACAGUUCGGUCCCUAUCCACUGCAGGCGUUAGAAUAUUGAAGAGAUCUGUCCUUAGUACGAGAGGACCGGGAUGGACAAACCUCUGAUGUACCGGUUGUUACGCCAGUAGCAUGGCCGGGUAGUCACGUUUGGAAGGGAUAAUCGCUGAAAGCAUCUAAGUGAGAAGCCCACUUUAAGAUGAGUGUUCUUUUAAGUAACCAUCGAGAACAGGUGGUGAUAGGCUGGAGGUGUAAGUAUGGUAACAUAUUUAGCUGACCGGUACUAAUAUUACGUAAGCUUUUUAA
This 2194-nucleotide ribosomal RNA is filed under the name human metagenome. Its description in RNAcentral is "bacterial LSU rRNA". It matches the Rfam family "Bacterial large subunit ribosomal RNA", at positions 710 to 2925 of the family's 2925-position model. The record is from RNAcentral.